Molecule: ribosomal RNA, 301 nt
Filed under: uncultured bacterium
Lineage: Bacteria
Description: partial 16S ribosomal RNA
Rfam family: Bacterial small subunit ribosomal RNA
Source: RNAcentral
CAGUAGCCGCGGGAAUACGAAGGGGGCUAGCGUUGUUCGGAAUUACUGGGCGUAAAGCGCACGUAGGCGGAUAUUUAAGUCAGGGGUGAAAUCCCGCAGCUCAACUGCGGAACUGCCUUUGAUACUGGGUAUCUUGAGUAUGGAAGAGGUUAGUGGAAUUGCGAGUGUAGAGGUGAAAUUCGUAGAUAUUCGCAGGAACACCAGUGGCGAAGGCGGCUAACUGGUCCAUAACUGACGCUGAGGUGCGAAAGCGUGGGGAGCAAACAGGAUUAGAUACCCGAGUAGUCCCUGUCUCUUAUAC